Non-coding RNA from Schizosaccharomyces pombe (fission yeast), 123 nucleotides. Lineage: Eukaryota; Fungi; Ascomycota; Schizosaccharomycetes; Schizosaccharomycetales; Schizosaccharomycetaceae. The record is from the annotation of a GenBank genome assembly.
GCGACAUUCCUGGCUCGGCUUUUUGGAGUAGAAGAUACAAACGAAAAUAGAAAAUUGAUCUAUAUGUCGUUCCUAAAACUUAUGCUUCAAUUCUGCAAACACUACUAAGUUUUUUCAGCUUGC